GGCAAGUUGGCCGAGUGGUUAUGGCGGAGCACUCAAGUUUAAAACUUACACUAUCAAAUAGUGGUGUAUUGCUCUGGGGCAACCCGCACGCGUUCGAAUCGCGUACUUGUCA
RNAcentral lists this transfer RNA (112 nucleotides) under Xylariaceae sp. FL1651. RNAcentral's name for it is "tRNA-Leu". It matches the Rfam family "tRNA". From Rfam's summary of the family: Transfer RNA (tRNA) molecules are approximately 80 nucleotides in length. Their secondary structure includes four short double-helical elements and three loops (D, anti-codon, and T loops). Further hydrogen bonds mediate the characteristic L-shaped molecular structure. tRNAs have two regions of fundamental functional importance: the anti-codon, which is responsible for specific mRNA codon recognition, and the 3' end, to which the tRNAs corresponding amino acid is attached (by aminoacyl-tRNA synthetases). tRNAs cope with the degeneracy of the genetic code in two manners: having more than one tRNA (with a specific anti-codon) for a particular amino acid; and 'wobble' base-pairing, i.e. permitting non-standard base-pairing at the 3rd anti-codon position. The record is from RNAcentral. Lineage: Eukaryota; Fungi; Ascomycota; Sordariomycetes; Xylariales; Xylariaceae.